Molecule: unclassified non-coding RNA, 336 nt
Filed under: soil metagenome
Description: partial contains 5.8S ribosomal RNA, internal transcribed spacer 2, and large subunit ribosomal RNA
Rfam family: 5.8S ribosomal RNA (bases 1-120)
Source: RNAcentral
GAUGAAGAACGUAGCGAAAUGCGAUAAGUAAUGUGAAUUGCAGAAUUCAGUGAAUCAUCGAAUCUUUGAACGCACAUUGCGCCCGCCAGUAUUCUGGCGGGCAUGCCUGUUCGAGCGUCAUUUCAACCAUCAAGCCCCAGGCUUGUGUUGGGGACCUGCGGCUGCCGCAGGCCCUGAAAACUAGUGGCGGGCUCGCUGUCACACCGGGCGUAGUAGAUUUUAUCUCGCUCAGGGCGUGCUGCGGGUUCCGGCCGUUAAAAAGCCUUUUUUACCCAAGGUUGACCUCGGAUCAGGUAGGAAGACCCGCUGAACUUAAGCAUAUCAAUAAGCGGAGGA